AAGGCUUGACAUGGACCGGACCGGGCUGGAAACAGUCCUUCCCCUUUGGGGCCGGUUCACAGGUGGUGCAUGGUUGUCGUCAGCUCGUGUCGUGAGAUGUUGGGUUAAGUCCCGCAACGAGCGCAACCCUCGUUCCAUGUUGCCAGCGCGUAAUGGCGGGGACUCAUGGGAGACUGCCGGGGUCAACUCGGAGGAAGGUGGGGACGACGUCAAAUCAUCAUGCCCCUUAUGUCUUGGGCUUCACGCAUGCUACAAUGGCCGGUACAAAGGGUUGCGAUACUGUGAGGUGGAGCUAAUCCCAAAAAGCCGGUCUCAGUUCGGAUUGGGGUCUGCAACUCGACCCCAUGAAGUCGGAGUCGCUAGUAAUCGCAGAUCAGCAACGCUGCGGUGAAUACGUUCCCGGGCC
RNAcentral lists this ribosomal RNA (406 nucleotides) under uncultured bacterium. RNAcentral describes it as "bacterial SSU rRNA". It matches the Rfam family "Bacterial small subunit ribosomal RNA", at positions 976 to 1380 of the family's 1533-position model. The record is from RNAcentral.